GGGGGAUUAGCUCAGUUGGGAGAGCGCUUGAAUGGCAUUCAAGAGGUCAGGGGUUCAAGUCCCCUAUCCUCCA
Molecule: transfer RNA, 73 nt
Filed under: Devosia sp.
Lineage: Bacteria; Pseudomonadati; Pseudomonadota; Alphaproteobacteria; Hyphomicrobiales; Devosiaceae
Also listed under: 7 other names
Description: tRNA-Ala
Rfam family: tRNA
About the family: Transfer RNA (tRNA) molecules are approximately 80 nucleotides in length. Their secondary structure includes four short double-helical elements and three loops (D, anti-codon, and T loops).
Source: RNAcentral